GACGAACGCUGGCGGCGUGCUUAACACAUGCAAGUCGAACGGAAAGGCCCUGCUUUUGUGGGGUGCUCGAGUGGCGAACGGGUGAGUAACACGUGAGUAACCUGCCCUUGACUUUGGGAUAACUUCAGGAAACUGGGGCUAAUACCGGAUAGGAGCUCCUGCUGCAUGGUGGGGGUUGGAAAGUUUCGGCGGUUGGGGAUGGACUCGCGGCUUAUCAGCUUGUUGGUGGGGUAGUGGCUUACCAAGGCUUUGACGGGUAGCCGGCCUGAGAGGGUGACCGGCGACAUUGGGACUGAGAUACGGACCAGAAGCGUACGGGAGGCAGCAGUGGGGAAUAUUGCACAAUGGGCGGAAGCCUGAUGCAGCAACGCCGCGUGCGGGAUGACGGCCUUCGGGCUGUAAACCGCUUUCGCAUGUGACGAAGCGUGAGUGACGGUAAUGGGUAAAGAAGCACCGGCUAACUACGUG
This 468-nucleotide ribosomal RNA is filed under the name uncultured bacterium. RNAcentral's name for it is "partial 16S ribosomal RNA". It matches the Rfam family "Bacterial small subunit ribosomal RNA", at positions 28 to 507 of the family's 1533-position model. The record is from RNAcentral.